ACUCAGGGGCACUCAACCACUAAGCCAUGUCCCCAGCCCUAUUUUGUGUUUUAUUUAGAGAUAGGCUGUCACUGAAUUGCUUAGUACCUCACUUUUGCUGAGGCUGGCUUUGAACUUGCAAUCCUCCUGACUCAGCCUCCCCAGCUGCUAGGAUUACAGAUGUGUGCCACCAUGCCUGGCAGAUAAAAUUUUUAACAGAGAAGUGCUGGAUUAAGAAAUGUAUGGGCUUGUCAACCAAAGACAGAAGGCUGGCUACGCUUUGGACAGCAUGGAAUAUUUUUUGGAAAGUAAUCCUGGAGCCAUAAAUGGAAAAAAAAAAAAAAAGGACAAUCUUAAGACCAAGGCCCACCAUGGAAAAGCAAGCCAUGGGGUCUAUAAACAUUGAAAACUAAUAUUUUCCUUUUUUCUCAUAAUAUUUCAAUCAUUUGUUAGUUUUCAGAAUUUAGUUAUCCUUUUUAUUUUCAAAAAUUUUCUGGAAUCAUGUCAAGAAAAAUGAAUAAAACAACAACAGCCCUGCUACCUGGCAAAGGAUUAAAACAUGACUUCAAAAACAGAUUCUAUAAAACAUGCCAGCAUUAACCAGAGUCUUGAUGAGGACCCAGACACAGCCUGUUGUAGAUAAGAACAAUUGUACAGAACACAGGAGACUAAAAUCCUACUUUCACUCUGCUUCUCUGUGUUGUCUUGGACCUCACAAUAAGACCCAGGAACUGCUCAGAGGAAAAUCACUACACUUUAGCUCAUUGACUAGGGGUCACUACUGAGAAGAUUGUCUCCUGUCACUGUUUCCAAAGCACAUUUUUUUCCAUCUGUUUUAAUUUUUCUCCCUAAUAUUAGGACUGGGUUCCCAUUUCCUGUAUGGACAUAACUUUUUUAUAAUAAUAAGGGAAAUUUUUCCUGCUUUAAAAUUUUUUCAACUUCAUAAAGGUGAAGUUGACAAAUAAAGGUAGUAUAUCUUUAGGAAGUACAGUGUGAUAUUGUGUUAAAUGUAUUUAUUGUGAAAUGAUGAACUCACCCUAAAUUAUACAUCUAUCACCUUAAACACUUAUCAUUCUUUUUGUUGUAAGGACAUUGAUGAUCUCUCUUCAAAAUUUUCAAGUUCAGUAAAGAAUUAACUCUAGUGACCAUGCUAUGCUGUAUGUUAAAACUCCAGAUCUAUUUCAUUUUGAAUAAUUGAAAACUGGUUCCCUUUGAUGGACAGCUCCCCAUUCCUCUCUACCCUGGCAACCAACCACCAUUCCACUUUGUUCCUAAGCAUUUUGACUUUUUUCCAGAUUCCACUAUAAGAGAGAUCAUGCAGUAUUUUUCUUUGGAUUCCUGGAUUAUUUUCUUUAUCAUAAUGACUUCUGAGGUCAUUGAUGAUUGACAUAGUU
Molecule: long non-coding RNA, 1373 nt
Organism: Ictidomys tridecemlineatus (thirteen-lined ground squirrel)
Lineage: Eukaryota; Metazoa; Chordata; Mammalia; Rodentia; Sciuridae
Source: Ensembl